GCAUCUAAUAAUAGCGGGCAGUUCAAUAAUAAUAGCAUGCAUCCCUGGCGUGUCAGGGGGGAGAGGUGAGAGGAGAGCACAGCUGAGGAAUGAAACAUGACCCUCCCUUGCUUUUUCCUCUCUCUCUCUCUCUCUUAACACACCCAUCCCCACCGCAUCUCCUUUAAAAACCCCAGGACCAGGACGUCGACAGGUCUGCGGAUCUCGGAGGCUGCGUUUGAUUGGUUUAGUUGUGCAGGAGCUCCUGUCUAUAACGGCAGCGGUGUAGGUUUCUCUUGCAUGCUGGACAUAUGGACUGUGGGAUAAAUAGAAGCAUGGUGUUUCAUGAACGUCUGCUUUGGGCCUCCAUAGAAAGCCCUUUGGAGAUGAAGUGUGUGAAGUGACAGACAAACACAGUGUCUCCCAGCCGCGCUGGUCGACUGAGCGGGAAGUCGAAAGGAGCCGCGGGCCAGCUGAGGUUGAUCGGGAAGGAACUCUUCGUUUUCACGCCACGCGCGCUUCGGCAAACUCACACGUGCCAGGUGAGCACGCGGGAGCUGGCUCGCGUACCAAUGUUGGCACACGCGCGCCGCCUGACACUUUACCAGACCUUGACGAAGGGCGUCAGGUGGAGCCACGAUGGGCAAGUCCUAAGUUCAUAAUGCCCUUAGCCCCGCUCGGUAUCUCGGCCCUGGCACCCCACGUCUGUCGGACAAGCAGAAGUUUGGAAGGAGAUCAAACUGGUGCAAAAAGGUCCCUCAAUGACAACAGGGACCCCAGUUGUGACCGCACACAGGCCUGCGCUCACAGGCCGACCUCGGAGGGGAUCGCUGAUAUAAAAUCUUCGAAUGGUGAUGAGUUGAGUCAUGAAAAGGGAACUAAAAUAAAGUAUACUGAGAAGUCUUCAAAAAAGGGACAAGUGGACUUGAUCCCGAGAAGUAAAACAACAACUGAGGAGAUCCACGAGCUCAGCGGAAGACUCUCAGACCUGGCUGAUGCCCCAGCAGAUCAGUUCUUUGUCUCACAGAAGAAGCGCGUUGCAUUCAUCACUUUAGAUUUGAAUGACCCAUUUGUCUCCAGGGCUGCAAAACCCAUCGCCAAAGGCACACAGUCCGACUUGAAUCAGACGAAAGCUGAGAAGAUGCCACGCAAAACACACAAAACUACCUCGGAGAGCAAAGCACGCUCUAAAAAGGACAAAACAGCUGGUCAUUAUCACGGAACACAAGCUUGCAAGAAACAGGAGGCUUUAUCUCAUCAUGUUUCCGCCCAGCAGGUCUGUAAACAGCAAGAAACUCAUCCUCUCACCGGGGAAAACCACACUGGCGAGAAUAAUCAAGUCGGGCUGCUGGAUAAGGAGGCCAAAUUGGUGAUUGACGCUGGUGCGACAACUGAGAAGGCUCCGAGCAAACCACAUGGCAAGAAGAAGAAGAAAAACACCGGGCUGAAUGGUGUCGGGGAGCCACUGGUGGAGGUGGAGAACGGAGCGAAACCAAAGACAGCGAAAGGGAGGAUUGAAAUGUUUGAGGCCAAGCUGGGUGCGAAAGCUGUGAAAGCUCCAAAGGACGGCGAUCACUCAGAGGAGAAAAUGUCACAGCAACCAGAAGCCAAAGCUAGAGCUUCCCAGGGAGAAAAACCUCAACAUCACGCAGAUCACAAAGACCACCAGCCGAAGAAAUUCACCAGUCCGCCGAACGACGAUAUUAUCAAAAGACGACGGCUGUCAGAAGACAAGUUUGGGAAAUUAUCCAAGCCGGACGUUUCUACACAGACAAAGGGAGAGGAGCCCAAGGUGAACACAGGGGCAACUCGCAGGAAGGCGUUUGGUGACGUGGUCAAACCGAAAAUCCCCCCAAAGGAAGACCCCAAGGUGGUGCAGCCCAUUCAGACGGCUCCGGUGAGCGGGGACCCCCGGAGCCUGUGCCUGUGGUGUCAGCUUACGGCCGCCUCCUACCAAUGCACCGUCACCUGGAGCAGGGGGGGCGCUGUCCUGUCUGAGAGCAAGAGAAGUGCAGGGGAUGACAGCAGAGUGUCGCUGACCAUCUCCAAUGCUUCUCACAAAGACUUGGGCAAGUACCAGUGUCAGCUCACCAGUUCACACGGAUCGGUGACCCUGGACUACCUGCUCACAUACGAAGUUCUCUGUGAGAUUGUUGUUCCUCCCUCUCCGAACACAAUCGUAUCAGCCCCCCGUAGAAGACGGGAGCGAAGAAGAAGACGUUCACUGUUCCAAGUUGAUUUUUAG
Long non-coding RNA from Gasterosteus aculeatus (three-spined stickleback), 2224 nucleotides. The record is from Ensembl. Lineage: Eukaryota; Metazoa; Chordata; Actinopteri; Perciformes; Gasterosteidae.